CGUACGGGUGAGUAACACGUGGAUCAUCUACCUCUUAGUGGGGGAAUAACUCUGGGAAACCGGAGCUAAUACCGCAUAAGCCUGGAAAGGGAAAGCAGCAAUGCGCUGAGAGAGGAGUCCGCGGCCGAUUAGCUAGUUGGCAGGGUAAAAGCCUACCAAGGCAUUGAUCGGUAGCCGGCCUGAGAGGGCACACGGCCACACUGGCACUGAAACACGGGCCAG
Molecule: ribosomal RNA, 222 nt
Filed under: uncultured bacterium
Lineage: Bacteria
Description: partial 16S ribosomal RNA
Rfam family: Bacterial small subunit ribosomal RNA
Source: RNAcentral